Molecule: long non-coding RNA, 437 nt
Filed under: Camelus dromedarius (Arabian camel)
Lineage: Eukaryota; Metazoa; Chordata; Mammalia; Artiodactyla; Camelidae
Description: lncRNA (ENSCDRG00005020493.1)
Source: RNAcentral
CCUGAUUCUGUGUGGGUAAUCAGCGUUCAAGUUCCGGAUUCUAUGUCAAGAGGUGUUGAAUGAAAAAUAGGUGAAAUCUUAUGGCUGCAAAAAUUACUGUGCUGACUUUGAAAUGAUGUCUUUAAAAAUUCCUUUAGACUUACAUUUUUCUGAUGAUACCCACUUUUCAAAGUACGGAAAGCAGCAAAGCACCAAGUAAGGGGCCAGCAUCUCACAGGACCCCAGCAUGAGGAAACCAGGUCACUUGGCUGGAGAACAGUUCUCAUUCUGGGGUUCCCUUGGCUUUCUUGCGACAUGAGAGAAGCCCGUCUUGGCCCAUUCAGGCUGCUGUAACCAAACACUGCAGACUGGACGGCUUAUCCACAGCAGAAACGUGUCCUUUACAGUUCUGGAGCCUGGAAGCCUGUGAUCAGAGUCCUGGUGUGGCCAGCCGAUAA